UGAUUGAGAAAUUGCAUGGACUUGGGGU
Molecule: non-coding RNA, 28 nt
Filed under: Bombyx mori (domestic silkworm)
Lineage: Eukaryota; Metazoa; Arthropoda; Insecta; Lepidoptera; Bombycidae
Source: RNAcentral